AGUGAACGCUGGCGGUAGGCCUAACACAUGCAAGUCGAACGGCAGCACAGUAAGAGCUUGCUCUUACGGGUGGCGAGUGGCGGACGGGUGAGGAAUACAUCGGAAUCUACUUUUUCGUGGGGGAUAACGUAGGGAAACUUACGCUAAUACCGCAUACGACCUACGGGUGAAAGCAGGGGAUCUUCGCACCUUGCGCGAUUGAAUGAGCCGAUGUCGGAUUAGCUAGUUGGCGGGGUAAAGGCCCACCAAGGCGACGAUCCGUAGCUGGUCUGAGAGGAUGAUCAGCCACACUGGAACUGAGACACGGUCCAGACUCCUACGGGAGGCAGCAGUGGGGAAUAUUGGACAAUGGGCGCAAGCCUGAUCCAGCCAUACCGAGUGGGUGAAGAAGGCCUUCGGGUUGUAAAGCCCUUUUGUUGGGAAAGAAAAGCAGCAGGUUAAUACCCCGCGGUUCUGACGGUACCCAAAGAAUAAGCACCGGCUAACUUCGUG
Molecule: ribosomal RNA, 492 nt
Filed under: uncultured bacterium
Lineage: Bacteria
Description: partial 16S ribosomal RNA
Rfam family: Bacterial small subunit ribosomal RNA
Source: RNAcentral